This 1044-nucleotide long non-coding RNA is filed under the name Salmo salar (Atlantic salmon). RNAcentral's name for it is "lncRNA (ENSSSAG00000092746.1)". Lineage: Eukaryota; Metazoa; Chordata; Actinopteri; Salmoniformes; Salmonidae. The record is from RNAcentral.
ACCCAGCAUCCUCUACUGUUAUACCUUUACCCAGCAUCCUCUACAGCAAUACCACUACCCAGCAUCCUCUACUGCUAUACCACUAUCCAGCAUCCUCUACUGCUAUACCAUUACACUACCCAACAUCCUCUUCUGCUAUAGCUCUACAAUACCCAGCAUCCUCUACUGCUGUCCCACUUCCCAGCAUCCUCUACUACUAUAACACUACCCAGCAAUAUCCACUCAGGUAGAACUACUCUCCUGGGGGCCAGAUGAUGAUACCUGAUGCUGUGAUUAUGGAUUGACUGAUUUAUUGACUGGUUGAUGUAUUGAUUGGUUGAUGGAUUGAUGUAGUGACUAAUUGAUGUAUUGACUGGUUGAUGUAUUGACUGAUUGAUGGAUUGGUUGAUUGAUGUAUUGGAUCGUUGGUGUAUUGGUUGGUUGAUUGAUGUAUUGGUUGAUGUAUUGGUUGGUUGAUGUAUUGGUUGGUUGGUGUAUUGGUUGGUUGACUGAUGUAUUGGCUGAUGUAUUGGUUGGUUGACUGACAUAUUGAUUGAUGUAUUGGUUGAUGUAAAGGUUGCUUGAUUGAUGUAUUUGUUUAUGUAUUGGUUGACUGAUUGAUGUAUUGGUUGAUUGAUGUAUUGGUUAAUGUAUUGGUUGGUUGAUUGACAUAUUGGUUGAUUGAUGUAUUGGUGGGUUAGUUGAUUAUUGAUUGGUUGAUUACUGUAUUGGUUGGUUGAUGUAUUGGUUGGUUGAUGUAUUGUUAAUGUAUUGGUUGGUUGAUGUAUUGGUUGAUGUAUUGGUUGAUGCAUUGGUUGCUUGAUUGAUGUAUUUGUUUAUGUAUUGGUUGACUGAUUGAUGUAUUGGUUGAUUGAUGUAUUGGUUAAUGAAUUGGUUGGUUGAUUGACAUAUUGGUUGAUUGAUGUAUUGGUGGGUUAGUUGAUUAUUGAUUGGUUGAUUGAUGUAUUGAUUGAUGUAUUGGUUGGUUGAUUGAUGUAUUGGUUGAUUACUGUAUUGGUUGGUUGAUGUAUUGGUUGGUUGAUGUAUUGUUAAUGUAUUGGUUGG